UUUGAGUGAUGCCCAUUUUGAU
RNAcentral lists this non-coding RNA (22 nucleotides) under Arabidopsis thaliana (thale cress). Lineage: Eukaryota; Viridiplantae; Streptophyta; Magnoliopsida; Brassicales; Brassicaceae. The record is from RNAcentral.